AACGAACGCUGGCGGCAUGCCUAACACAUGCAAGUCGAACGAGACCUUCGGGUCUAGUGGCGCACGGGUGCGUAACGCGUGGGAACCUGCCCUUAGGUUCGGAAUAACUCCCCGAAAGGGGUGCUAAUACCGGAUAAUGUCUUCGGACCAAAGAUUUAUCGCCUUUGGAUGGGCCCGCGUUGGAUUAGCUAGUUGGUAGGGUAAAAGCCUACCAAGGCGACGAUCCAUAGCUGGUCUGAGAGGAUGAGCAGCCACACUGGGAGUGAGACACGGCCCAGACUCCUACGGGAGGCAGCAGUGGGGAAUAUUGGACAAUGGGCGAAAGCCUGAUCCAGCAAUGACGCGUGAGUGAUGAAGGCCUUAGGGUUGUAAAGCUCUUUUACCCGGGAUGAUAAUGACAGUACCGGGAGAAUAAGCUCCGGCUAACUCCGUG
Molecule: ribosomal RNA, 433 nt
Filed under: uncultured bacterium
Lineage: Bacteria
Description: partial 16S ribosomal RNA
Rfam family: Bacterial small subunit ribosomal RNA
Source: RNAcentral